ACGUUCUGUCGGUUCCUCCUCGGUUCCCUCAUGUUGACGUUCUGUCGGUUACUCCUCGGUUCCCUCAUGUUGACGUUCUGUCAGUCCCCUCAUGUUGACGUUCUGUCAGGUUUCUCCUCAGUUCCCUCAUGUUGACGUUCUGUCAGUUCCCUCAUGUUGACGUUCUGUCAGGUUUCUCCUCAGUUCCCUCAUGUUGACGUUCUGUCAGGUUCCUUCAUGUUGACGUUCUAUCAGGUUUCUCCUCAGUUCCUUCAUGUUGACAUUCUGUCAGGUUUCUCCUCAGUUCCCUCAUGUUGAUGUUCUGUCAGUUUCCCUCAUGUUGACGUUCUGUCGGUUACUCUUCGGUUCCCUCAUGUUGACGUUCUGUCAGGUUUCUCCUCAGUUCCCUCAUGUUGACGUUCUGUCAGGUUCCUUCAUGUUGACGUUCUAUCAGGUUUCUCCUCAGUUCCCUCAUGUUGACGUUCUGUCAGGUUCCUUCAUGUUGACGUUCUAUCAGGUUUCUCCUCAGUUCCCUCAUGUUGACGUUCUGUCAGGUUCCUUCAUGUUGACGUUCUAUCAGGUUUCUCCUCAGUUCCCUCAUGUUGAUGUUCUGUCAGGUUCCUUCAUGUUGACGUUCAGUCAGGUUCCUCCUGGGUUCUCCUGCAGCUCCUCUGAAAGCUUCCUUGUGUUCCUGCUGGCAGCCUGGGUUCCAUGUGA
This is a long non-coding RNA of Amphiprion ocellaris (clown anemonefish), 696 nucleotides long. NCBI's taxonomy places the organism in Eukaryota, Metazoa, Chordata, Actinopteri, Pomacentridae. The record is from Ensembl.